UGAUAAAAGCUUUUAUUCAGGACUUCCUUCACGGGCACCGGGGAAACUGGGUUAAUCUUUUGUAGGGGGAGUGUAAAACAAAUGGACCUGCGUGAAUGUCAGAGAGCUUAUCUGUCAACCAGCCAACACCAAGCCUCUUGAGUUCCCUUUAUCUGAUAAUGUCAAGGAACCUGGGUUAGCAUUCUUCCCACCUCAGUCUAGUGCUUAUUCAGGCCUGGGCCGUGUUGAAACUGCUCACAUGCUAGGUGUAUAUUGUGUUAAGAAACAGUUCCCGGUGCAGACAGCUGAAACCCAAUCGCUCGCUCUGCUGAGUGUCCCAGUGAUUACACGGCCCUUCUGUGAGCUUGCGCCAAAUGUACAAUAUAAAGGACACGGUGACCACGGCUUCUCAUUCAUUCUGUGUGUCCAGGGACAAGAAUGUGGGAACGUCAAACAAUAACUCAAUGAUGGUUCAGGAAAUUCAGGAAAUUCAGGUAAAAUAUAAUAAGUAGGCCUUGGGUCAUAAAACUUGCUUGAAGUCCUACAUUCCUUAUAAAGGCAACUUCCUUCUCUUCUACCGCCAGUUAGUGUGUGGGGAGGAGAGAGGGAAGGGGAGCUUUUGAAAAUUAGAUGUGAUGAAGUACUAAUGUAACAAUUUAAACAUUUUCAUAAGUAUUUUCCCCCCCUCUUAACUAUACAGAUUAAUGGGACGCAAUAAGGAUCUUAACGCUGUUUUAGACACCGCCGUUCUUUCUUAUGGAAAGGUUAUUAAUCCACUCAAAGAUCACUCUCCUACAACAUUUUUUAUGGCCUUUUACAAACCAGAGUGAAGUCAUUUAUUCCAAGGCUCUAUUUGACUGUCAGGUUUGGAGAGAAAAUUUACUACUUCUGUUCAAGGUAGGAGGGAAUAGAAUAAGGCGAGCAUUCGGGAUUUCUCAGGGCAGAGAGGAAUCUCUGUAGAAAGAAGGGGAGUUACGUGGGGACUGUGUAACCAGAAGGCUUCAUUCAGUGCAUGUUCCCCUAAGCUUAUGUCCUCGGACCUCACCUUGAUUUCUUGUCUUCUGUGACACAUAGGAUACUCUCACUUCCCUGCAAAUGGUCUCUAAAAUCUAUCGCCCAGACCUCUAUUUUGAGUUCCAGAACUUCUUUUCUACCAGCUUACUGGAUAUGUUAUGAGUAUGUCCAGCAUUUAGAGUUGAUAUAUUAAGAAACAAACACAUGGCUAUCCCUUCUCCCUCCUCCCAUCCUAUCCUUCUGCCACCUGCUCAUCACUCACACUCAGAAUCUGGGGUAAAACUGCCAGUUACCUGUUCUUUAUGCUUACGGGGAUGCUUCACUUGCCCCCUGCAGGCUGCUGUGGCUUUCUGCCCUUGGAGGAAGCCUUGAUGUAUUGUCCUUUGCAUCUGGAAGGAAAAGUUUGCUCAGGAAGCUGGAGGAAAACCUUAUGCUUGCAGAAGGUGACACCUGAGCCUGCUUGAAUCAGCCGGUCCUCCUUUUGCUCCCAAAGGGCAUCGGGGUCACGUCUAAGACCGACUGCCUCUUCAUCCUGCCUGCAGCUGCUUCGUCCGUUGUCCUGAGUUUGUAUAUUUUGAUUUUCUGGAGUAUCCCAGGUAAUUACGCAUUCUCCUCAGGGAUGUGUUUGAAUAAUCAGGUCUUUUUCACACACGGCUUCAUGGGAGUGUUGUCUUUUCUACUAUAAUUGCUUACAAUUCAAGCUUGAGAUGCUGUCGUUUGCCAGCCAUCAUUAGAGAGUGAGCACGGUGUAAUGACCGAGAACAUGGCUCUGAGGCCAUGCGGUGCUGCCAAGUAAGUGGCCUUCUGUUAAAUGGAGCGAAAUAGCCCUGAUCUCAGAGGGUGGUAGUGAGAAAUGAAAGAAUUAAUGUUUAUGAAGUUACUUAACAUAGUGCCUAGUAAGUAGUAACCCACUCAAUAAAUGCAAACUAUUAUUGUAUUGCUCCUAUUUAACUUCACUAUUACACUGUGCAAUUCUGACAUAGAGGUUUGUUCUAUGGGGCAAUGUCUGUGAAUUCCAACUACUGCUCCCUAUUAAACUUCCUGGCAAU
Pipistrellus kuhlii (Kuhl's pipistrelle) is the source of this 2042-nucleotide long non-coding RNA. RefSeq lists it as uncharacterized. The record is from RefSeq and is a predicted model, not a curated record. NCBI's taxonomy places the organism in Eukaryota, Metazoa, Chordata, Mammalia, Chiroptera, Vespertilionidae. The transcript is spliced from 2 exons.